AUGGCAGUGUAGCGGGAGGCGGGCCGCAGGCGGCAGGGUGACCGGACAUCUUGUCGGUCCGAACCCUAUAAAACGGCGUGUCGGGGUCGGCUGGGUCUCUUUCUGACGAAGCAGUGCAGCGGUGUGAAGUUGUUGGUGUGAUGUUACAGUACAAUGGCAUUAAAGAUUCCACAUGGUGGAUACCGUCAUCUAUUCAGUGUAAGCAGUCUGCAAAUUAUCACCAUGGUUCACCAGUUCUUCCUAUCCUGGCGUUAAGUAUUUCCUAUUCCUGGGAGUAAAGGCUGUUUUUAUGGAGGCAUACUGAAUUUUGCCCCUGUGAAUGGGGAUGAAAAUGAGGAAGGCUGGAAUCAGGCACCUAAUGAGAGGAAUGUUUAAUAAAGUUGGAUGAGACUGUACCAGAUUCAACUUCUCAACUGGAGAAGAUGAAAACUCGGAAGAGGUACCUAGAUGCUCUAACGAGAGCAGUGUGAUCUUCAGGUGGGCUUCUGAACGAUUUAAGUGCAUUUGACUUCUCUUUGAAGCUGCCAACUUUGAUGUUCAGAGGCUGAAAUCAACAGUUCUGUUGAAUGUGUACUAGUAUUUUCUUGGUAUUUCACUUCUAAAUAAAAGUUCAUGUUGAAAUCA
Long non-coding RNA from Hypanus sabinus (Atlantic stingray), 624 nucleotides. RefSeq lists it as uncharacterized. The transcript has 6 exons. The record is from RefSeq and is a predicted model, not a curated record. Lineage: Eukaryota; Metazoa; Chordata; Chondrichthyes; Myliobatiformes; Dasyatidae.